UGCAAGAUCAAGAUGGCAAUUCUGAAUGCUGAACUUCUUUUAGAAAGACCUUAGAAGAAGCACUCCUGCGCUGUCUAGAAAAGAAUCGGUUAGGAGGUUCUUGCACUCUAGUUGCUUCUGGAUUGUAUCAAGCUUCUCUUGAGACUUCGCAAACAACUGUUCACCUUGUUACAGCCAGAGUGCACAAUAACAAAUCAAGGGGUGACUGUCACUCGCCUGCCCCAGGAAGCCUGGAGAAGCUCCAUGGUGACAAAAGAGCUGCCAGGUCAAACUAUUAAAUAAGCCUCCAUUAGACUGA
Molecule: long non-coding RNA, 298 nt
Organism: Strigops habroptila (Kakapo)
Lineage: Eukaryota; Metazoa; Chordata; Aves; Psittaciformes; Psittacidae
Exons: 2
Source: RefSeq, a predicted model, not a curated record